GGGCUACUUCCAAACUUCAAGCC
Molecule: unclassified non-coding RNA, 23 nt
Filed under: Dictyostelium discoideum
Lineage: Eukaryota; Evosea; Eumycetozoa; Dictyosteliales; Dictyosteliaceae
Source: RNAcentral